CUUCGCGGGGUCGCGGCUUUCGGGUCGCGGUUUCGCGGGGGCGCGCGUUCGUCUCGUUUUUUGCGUCGCUAAACGGCGUCGGAGGCGUCUCUCGUCGGAGGCGAAAUCGUUUUUCGACGGGUUGCGCCCUUUUUCGUCGGAUUGCAAGAUUUUACUUUGAAUAAAUUAGAGCGUUCAAAGCAGGCGAAAUCGUCUUGAAUACGUUAGCAUGGGAUAAUAGAAUAGGACCGUAAGAAUUUUUUUCGGUUUAACGUUUACUGGUUUCUAAAGCCGAGGUAAUGAUUAAUAGGGACAGUUGGGGUCGCUCGUACUCGGCGGUCAGAGGUGAAAUUCUAAGACCCGCCGAAGACGAACAAGUGCGAAGGCAUUCGACAAGGAUGUUUUCUUUAAUCAAGAACGAAAGUUAUGGGAUCGAAGAUGAUCAGAUACCGUCGUAGUCAUAACCGUAAACUAUGUUGACUCGGGAUCCGAAGAAGUUACAUGGAUGACUCUUCGGGCACCGUGUGCGAAAGCACAAGUAUUCGAACUCCGGGGGGAGUAUGGUCGCAAGGCUGAAACUUAAAGGAAUUGACGGAAGGGCACCACCAGGUGUGGAAUCUGCGGCUUAAUUUGACCCAACACGGGGAAACUUACCCAGUCCGGACGCUACGAGGAUUGACAGAUUGAUAGUUCUUUCUUGAUUUUGUGGAAGCCGGUGCAUGGCCGUUUUUAGUUGGUGGAGUGAUUUGUCUGGUUAAGUCCGAUAACGAACGAGACCUAAUUUUGUUAAAUAGUACUGCCAACAAGGGGGUCGCCGGUCGUUUCGGUCGCGGGUUUUCGCCCGCGCUCGUGCGAUCGGGGCCUCCGCUCGUUUGUUGGUAGCUAGAUUUACUUCUUAGAGAGACUCUUGGUCGAUAACAGCAGCCAAUGGAAGCUUUAGGCAAAAACAGGUCUGUGAUGCCGCUAGAUGUCUGGGGCUGCACGCGCGUUACACUGACGUGUUCAACGAGUAUUUUAGAAUUACCUGGCCCGAGGGGGUUUCCGGCAAUCUCUAAAAGCACGUCGUGAUGGGGAUCGUGCCUUGUAACUAUUGCACGUGAACGAGGAAUACCUAGUAAGGGCAAGUCAUCAACUUGCCCUGACUACGUCCCUGCCCUUUGUACACACCGCCCGUCGCUUCUACCGAUCGAACUACUCGAUGAGGACUCGGGAUGCGGAGCGAUGUCUCGGUUCUGCCGAGCGCGUUUCGCAGAACCUGU
RNAcentral lists this ribosomal RNA (1238 nucleotides) under metagenome. RNAcentral's name for it is "bacterial SSU rRNA". It matches the Rfam family "Eukaryotic small subunit ribosomal RNA", at positions 723 to 1758 of the family's 1831-position model. The record is from RNAcentral.